This 406-nucleotide ribosomal RNA is filed under the name uncultured bacterium. Its description in RNAcentral is "partial 16S ribosomal RNA". It matches the Rfam family "Bacterial small subunit ribosomal RNA", at positions 30 to 526 of the family's 1533-position model. The record is from RNAcentral.
AUUGAACGCUGGCGGCAGGCCUAACACAUGCAAGUCGAACGAGUGGCGGACGGGUGAGUAAUGUCUGGGAAACUGCCCGAUGGAGGGGGGUAACUACUGGAAACGGUAGCUAAUACCGCAUACCAUCGGAUGUGCCCAGAUGGGAUUAGCUAGUAGGUGGGGUAACGGCUCACCUAGGCGACGAUCCCUAGCUGGUCUGAGAGGAUGACCAGCCACACUGGAAAUGAGACACGGGCCAGACUCCUACGUGGGGCAGCGGUGGGGAAUAUUGCAAAAUGGGCGCAAGCCGGAUGCAGCCAUGCCGCGUGUAUGAAGAAGGCAUUCGGGUUGUAAAGUACUUUCAGCGAGGGGGCGUUACUAGAAGAAGAAGCACCGGCUAACUCCGUGCCAGCAGCCGCGGUAAUUC